RNAcentral lists this long non-coding RNA (871 nucleotides) under Homo sapiens (human). Its description in RNAcentral is "HSALNT0225789". The record is from RNAcentral. Lineage: Eukaryota; Metazoa; Chordata; Mammalia; Primates; Hominidae.
CAGCACUUUGGGACGGUGAGGUGAGGGAUCACUUGAGCUCAGAAGUUCAAGACCAGCCUGAGCAACAUAGUGAGACCUCAUCUCCAAAAAAAAAGAAGUUAUUCUUCACUGAACUGCAGAAGGGAAGGUUAACUGAUAGAGAAUAUGGAAGAAGUGUGAAAGAUGAAAAAAUAUGAGAUGAUUUCAGCAGCGUCAGACAAAAUAUAAGAGAAACUGCCACUACACAAUAUUACGCAUUUCAACCGAAUUUUACAAAUUUCCUCAACUGGGUCUAAAUUAAGCCCCCCUCGCCCCCAAGAAAACCUCUAAAAUAACUGCCAUUCAAUCUCACAAGAACAGCCUGAUUUUUAAAAUACAUUUCCAUUGUAUCUACUUAACAUAGAAAAGAAAAAAUGUCUUACUAGAAAUGAAGUAUCAGCAAAAAGUGCACUUAGAUAUGAUCCUUGCAGAAAAUUCUUGUUCUUUUUUCACAAAAUGCAAUUCCUUAAAAAAGAAAAAAAUUUGAGAUGCAUUAUUGUUCUUGACUCCAAAGCUGAAUUAAAUAUACAUUAUACAAAAUUCUAGCACUCAACACCAUUCCUAGCAGAAAGCUCCACAAAUACUGUUAAAUGAAAAUUAAAUUUUAAAAAGUCAUUUAUUUGGAAUAAAACAAAACGUCAGCCAACUGAGUAUCUCUACUAUUACGAAUCCUUUUUCUUCAGGAAGUAUUACUCAAAUGUUCAGUAAUAUUCUUUGCAUCGCGAGAUUCAAAAAUUGGUUUCCUAGGUCCCAUUUUCCUAUCCUCUGUAUCAUGUUAUGCUUUAUAUUUAUCUGUACUGUGCGUAUAGCCUAUUGAACUUACUAGUUUCAAUAAACUAAACUUGUUUUAAAU